This 252-nucleotide ribosomal RNA is filed under the name uncultured bacterium. RNAcentral describes it as "partial 16S ribosomal RNA". It matches the Rfam family "Bacterial small subunit ribosomal RNA", at positions 524 to 776 of the family's 1533-position model. The record is from RNAcentral.
GACAGAGGGUGCAAACGUUGUUCGGAAUUACUGGGCGUAAAGCGCGUGUAGGCUGCUUCGCAAGUCGGAUGUGAAAGCCCUGGGCUCAACCCAGGAAGUGCAUUCGAAACUGCAGAGCUGGAGUCCUGGAGAGGAAGGCGGAAUUCUCGGUGUAGAGGUGAAAUUCGUAGAUAUCGAGAGGAACACCGGUGGCGAAGGCGGCCUCUGGACAACUACUGACACUGAGACGCGAAAGCGUGGGUAGCAAACAGG